GCCGCGGCGAUAGCUCAGUGUAUCAAGCACCAGGUGAGCAGAUGACGAUUACUUCGAGAGCUAUUGUCUGCGCGGGUUCGAAUCCCGCCUGUGGCA
Molecule: non-coding RNA, 96 nt
Organism: Aromia moschata
Lineage: Eukaryota; Metazoa; Arthropoda; Insecta; Coleoptera; Cerambycidae
Source: the annotation of a GenBank genome assembly